RNAcentral lists this ribosomal RNA (301 nucleotides) under uncultured bacterium. Its description in RNAcentral is "partial 16S ribosomal RNA". It matches the Rfam family "Bacterial small subunit ribosomal RNA", at positions 509 to 807 of the family's 1533-position model. The record is from RNAcentral.
CAGUCGCCGCGGGAAUACGAGGGGGGCAAGCGUUGUUCGGAUUUAUUGGGCGUAAAGGGUGCGUAGGCGGUUUGGCAAGUCUUGUGUGAAAUCUUCGGGCUCAACCCGAAGCCUGCACGAGAAACUACCGGGCUUGAGUAUUGGAGAGGUGAGUGGAAUUUCCGGUGUAGCGGUGAAAUGCGUAGAUAUCGGAAGGAACACCUGUGGCGAAAGCGGCUCACUGGACAAUAACUGACGCUGAUGCACGAAAGCUAGGGGAGCAAACAGGAUUAGAUACCCCCGUAGUCCCUGUCUCUUAUAC